CUUCGGGUUGUAAAGUACUUUCAGUUGUGAGGAAGGGGGUAGUGUUAAUAGCGCUAUCUCUUGACGUUAGCAACAGAAGAAGCACCGGCUAACUCCGUGCCAGCAGCCGCGGUAAUACGGAGGGUGCGAGCGUUAAUCGGAAUUACUGGGCGUAAAGCGCAUGCAGGUGGUUCAUUAAGUCAGAUGUGAAAGCCCGGGGCUCAACCUCGGAACUGCAUUUGAAACUGGUGAACUAGAGUACUGUAGAGGGGGGUAGAAUUUCAGGUGUAGCGGUGAAAUGCGUAGAGAUCUGAAGGAAUACCAGUGGCGAAGGCGGCCCCCUGGACAGAUACUGACACUCAGAUGCGAAAGCGUGGGGAGCAAACAGGAUUAGAUACCCUGGUAGUCCACGCCGUAAACGAUGUCUACUUGGAGGUUGUGGCCUUGAGCCGUGGCUUUCGGAGCUAACGCGUUAAGUAGACCGCCUGGGGAGUACGGUCGCAAGAUUAAAACUCAAAUGAAUUGACGGGGGCCCGCACAAGCGGUGGAGCAUGUGGUUUAAUUCGAUGCAACGCGAAGAACCUUACCUACUCUUGACAUCCAGAGAAGCCAGCGGAGACGCAGGUGUGCCUUCGGGAGCUCUGAGACAGGUGCUGCAUGGCUGUCGUCAGCUCGUGUUGUGAAAUGUUGGGUUAAGUCC
RNAcentral lists this ribosomal RNA (679 nucleotides) under Vibrio sp. P1MANal6. RNAcentral's name for it is "bacterial SSU rRNA". It matches the Rfam family "Bacterial small subunit ribosomal RNA", at positions 416 to 1087 of the family's 1533-position model. Lineage: Bacteria; Pseudomonadati; Pseudomonadota; Gammaproteobacteria; Vibrionales; Vibrionaceae. The record is from RNAcentral.